Long non-coding RNA from Rosa rugosa (rugosa rose), 807 nucleotides. RefSeq lists it as uncharacterized. The transcript has 2 exons. The record is from RefSeq and is a predicted model, not a curated record. NCBI's taxonomy places the organism in Eukaryota, Viridiplantae, Streptophyta, Magnoliopsida, Rosales, Rosaceae.
UCCUCCUCCGAUUUCUCCUCUUUCUUCCUUCUCUUCCUUGUUUUUUCUAUCUUCUUUUUCUUCUCCUCCAGAUCUGCAACAUUUUCAUGCCUAGUUUGUUGUUGAGCAUAGUGGAUCGGCUGACUUUCUUCUUCUCUCUAAUGUCUUCGAACCCAAAUCUGAUCCCCAAUUUAAGAAAAAGAUAGAUUGAUAUCAAGUCUUUACUUGAUCCCUUAUUUCGAUACUCUGCUCAAACUGUUAUAGGAUCUUGAAUUGUUUUUUAAUGUUCUUGGUUCCUGUUAUUUGUUGUGGAUUGCUUUAGAUGUGUAGGUUUAUGAAAAUAUUUGCGAGAUCUGGGUUUUGCAGAAUCAUUGUGAGUAGAAAUUGGAGGUGGAGGUGAAAGAGAGCUAUCCUGGUUUCCAGCACACGAAAAAUUUGAAACAUGUAUAGUAAGUUUUGGGAUAUGAGUUCGAUCAGUUUGCUAUUGUGAUAGAUGCUUGAUUAGUUACUCUCCGUUGGAAGUUUUGCUUCUUAAUUUCAUCUCAGCUUAGAAGGAGCCAAGAGGACAAGUAUUGAUGUAUGGACUUGCUUUGAUUAUCAGCCUCAGCAAAAGAGAGUUUAAUGUUGGGAAUUUCCAGAGAGUACAACUGCGAAAAGGAAGGAGGAAAACAAAACAGUAGCAGCUACAUUGUUCUUUUCAUAUUCUCUGGUUGUAUUAUGCUUUUCGUUGUUCACCUUGUAAUUUUUCACUGGGAGAGGCGUUGGCGUUCAUCCUCCUCUCCCUCCCUGUAUCAUUUCUCGCAUAAAUUGGAUAAUUUGUUGAUUUGA